UGUGUGUGUGUGUGUGUGCGUGCGUGCGCGCGCACGCACGCACACACACACACACACU
This 58-nucleotide microRNA precursor is filed under the name Pelobates cultripes (western spadefoot toad). The record is from RNAcentral. Lineage: Eukaryota; Metazoa; Chordata; Amphibia; Anura; Pelobatidae.